Molecule: ribosomal RNA, 379 nt
Filed under: uncultured eukaryote
Lineage: Eukaryota
Description: partial 18S ribosomal RNA
Rfam family: Eukaryotic small subunit ribosomal RNA
Source: RNAcentral
CAGUAGCGUAUAUAAGUUGCUGCGGUUAAAAAGCUCGUAGUUGGAUUUCUGUCGAGGACGACCGGUCCGCCCUCUGGGUGAUGCAUCUGGCUCGGCCUUGGCAUCUUCUUGGGAAACGUUACUGCACUUGACUGUGUGGUGCGGUAUCCAGGACUUUUACUUUGAGGAAAUUAGAGUGUUUCAAGCAGGCGCACGCCUUGAAUACAUUAGCAUGGAAUAAUAAGCUAGGACCUUGGUUCUAUUUUGUUGGUUUCUAGAGCUGAGGUAAUGAUUAAUAGGGAUAGUUGGGGGCAUUCGUAUUUAACUGUCAGAGGUGAAAAUCUUGGAUUUGUUAAAGACGGACUACUGCGAAAGCAUUUGCCAAGGAUGUUUUCAUUGA